GGAGCGAACGCUGGCGGCAGGCCUAACACAUGCAAGUCGAGCGCCCGUAGCAAUACGGGAGCGGCAGACGGGAUAGUAACACGUGGGAACGCGCCCUUCGGUUCGGAAUAACUCAGGGAAACUUGAGCUAAAUACCGGAUACGCCCUUACGGGGAAAGAUUUAUUGCCGAAGGAACGGCCCGCGUCCGAUUAGCUAGUUGGUGAGGUAAUGGCUCACCAAGGCGACGAUCGGUAGCUGGUCUGAGAGGAUGACCAGCAUCACUGGGACUGAGACACGGCCCAGACUCCUACGGGAGGCAGCAGUGGGGAAUAUUGGACAAUGGGCGCAAGCCUGAUCCAGCCAUGCCGCGUGGAUGAUGAAGGCCUUAGGGUUGUAAAGUCCUUUAACGGGGAAGAUAAUGACGGUACCGUAGAAUAAGCCCCGGCUAACUUCGUGCCAGCAGCCGC
Molecule: ribosomal RNA, 447 nt
Filed under: uncultured bacterium
Lineage: Bacteria
Description: SSU rRNA
Rfam family: Bacterial small subunit ribosomal RNA
Source: RNAcentral